GAUGAACGCUAGCGGCAGGCUUAAUACAUGCAAGUCGAGGGGCAUCAAGGUACACGAAAGUGUAUUGUUGGCGACCGGCGGACGGGUGAGUAAUAGGUAGGUAACCUACCUCAUACUGAGGCAUAGCUGGGAGAAAUUCCAGGUAAUUCCUCAUGAGGUUAUAUGACACAUGUGAUAUAAUCAAAGGUAUCGCAAGGUACUGGUAUGAGAUGGGUUACUGACCAUUAGCUAGUUGGUGAGAUAAGAGCUCACCAAGGCGAAGAUGGUUAGGGGUUUUGAGAGAGAGAUCCCCCACAUUGGAACUGAGAUACAGUCCAGACUCCUACGGGAGGCAGCAGUAGGGAAUAUUGGGCAAUGGGCGAAGCCUGACCCAGCCAUGCCGCGUGAAGGAAGACGGCCUUAUGGGUUGUAAAACUUCUUUACUAUGCGACUAACUAGAUUUACGAGAUAAUUCUAUAGAAUGUAGCAUAGCAAAAAGCACCGGA
This 485-nucleotide ribosomal RNA is filed under the name uncultured bacterium. Its description in RNAcentral is "bacterial SSU rRNA". It matches the Rfam family "Bacterial small subunit ribosomal RNA", at positions 28 to 497 of the family's 1533-position model. The record is from RNAcentral.